Molecule: ribosomal RNA, 2789 nt
Filed under: Escherichia coli
Lineage: Bacteria; Pseudomonadati; Pseudomonadota; Gammaproteobacteria; Enterobacterales; Enterobacteriaceae
Description: bacterial LSU rRNA
Rfam family: Bacterial large subunit ribosomal RNA
Source: RNAcentral
AGCGUACACGGUGGAUGCCCUGGCAGUCAGAGGCGAUGAAGGACGUGCUAAUCUGCGAUAAGCGUCGGUAAGGUGAUAUGAACCGUUAUAACCGGCGAUUUCCGAAUGGGGAAACCCAGUGUGAUUCGUCACACUAUCAUUAACUGAAUCCAUAGGUUAAUGAGGCGAACCGGGGGAACUGAAACAUCUAAGUACCCCGAGGAAAAGAAAUCAACCGAGAUUCCCCCAGUAGCGGCGAGCGAACGGGGAGCAGCCCAGAGCCUGAAUCAGUGUGUGUGUUAGUGGAAGCGUCUGGAAAGGCGCGCGAUACAGGGUGACAGCCCCGUACACAAAAAUGCACAUGCUGUGAGCUCGAUGAGUAGGGCGGGACACGUGGUAUCCUGUCUGAAUAUGGGGGGACCAUCCUCCAAGGCUAAAUACUCCUGACUGACCGAUAGUGAACCAGUACCGUGAGGGAAAGGCGAAAAGAACCCCGGCGAGGGGAGUGAAAAAGAACCUGAAACCGUGUACGUACAAGCAGUGGGAGCACAGAGCAAUCUGUGUGACUGCGUACCUUUUGUAUAAUGGGUCAGCGACUUAUAUUCUGUAGCAAGGUUAACCGAAUAGGGGAGCCGAAGGGAAACCGAGUCUUAACUGGGCGUUAAGUUGCAGGGUAUAGACCCGAAACCCGGUGAUCUAGCCAUGGGCAGGUUGAAGGUUGGGUAACACUAACUGGAGGACCGAACCGACUAAUGUUGAAAAAUUAGCGGAUGACUUGUGGCUGGGGGUGAAAGGCCAAUCAAACCGGGAGAUAGCUGGUUCUCCCCGAAAGCUAUUUAGGUAGCGCCUCGUGAAUUCAUCUCCGGGGGUAGAGCACUGUUUCGGCAAGGGGGUCAUCCCGACUUACCAACCCGAUGCAAACUGCGAAUACCGGAGAAUGUUAUCACGGGAGACACACGGCGGGUGCUAACGUCCGUCGUGAAGAGGGAAACAACCCAGACCGCCAGCUAAGGUCCCAAAGUCAUGGUUAAGUGGGAAACGAUGUGGGAAGGCCCAGACAGCCAGGAUGUUGGCUUAGAAGCAGCCAUCAUUUAAAGAAAGCGUAAUAGCUCACUGGUCGAGUCGGCCUGCGCGGAAGAUGUAACGGGGCUAAACCAUGCACCGAAGCUGCGGCAGCGACGCUGAUGCGUUGUUGGGUAGGGGAGCGUUCUGUAAGCCUGUGAAGGUGUGCUGUGAGGCAUGCUGGAGGUAUCAGAAGUGCGAAUGCUGACAUAAGUAACGAUAAAGCGGGUGAAAAGCCCGCUCGCCGGAAGACCAAGGGUUCCUGUCCAACGUUAAUCGGGGCAGGGUGAGUCGACCCCUAAGGCGAGGCCGAAAGGCGUAGUCGAUGGGAAACAGGUUAAUAUUCCUGUACUUGGUGUUACUGCGAAGGGGGGACGGAGAAGGCUAUGUUGGCCGGGCGACGGUUGUCCCGGUUUAAGCGUGUAGGCUGGUUUUCCAGGCAAAUCCGGAAAAUCAAGGCUGAGGCGUGAUGACGAGGCACUACGGUGCUGAAGCAACAAAUGCCCUGCUUCCAGGAAAAGCCUCUAAGCAUCAGGUAACAUCAAAUCGUACCCCAAACCGACACAGGUGGUCAGGUAGAGAAUACCAAGGCGCUUGAGAGAACUCGGGUGAAGGAACUAGGCAAAAUGGUGCCGUAACUUCGGGAGAAGGCACGCUGAUAUGUAGGUGAAGCGACUUGCUCGUGGAGCUGAAAUCAGUCGAAGAUACCAGCUGGCUGCAACUGUUUAUUAAAAACACAGCACUGUGCAAACACGAAAGUGGACGUAUACGGUGUGACGCCUGCCCGGUGCCGGAAGGUUAAUUGAUGGGGUCAGCGCAAGCGAAGCUCUUGAUCGAAGCCCCGGUAAACGGCGGCCGUAACUAUAACGGUCCUAAGGUAGCGAAAUUCCUUGUCGGGUAAGUUCCGACCUGCACGAAUGGCGUAAUGAUGGCCAGGCUGUCUCCACCCGAGACUCAGUGAAAUUGAACUCGCUGUGAAGAUGCAGUGUACCCGCGGCAAGACGGAAAGACCCCGUGAACCUUUACUAUAGCUUGACACUGAACAUUGAGCCUUGAUGUGUAGGAUAGGUGGGAGGCUUUGAAGUGUGGACGCCAGUCUGCAUGGAGCCGACCUUGAAAUACCACCCUUUAAUGUUUGAUGUUCUAACGUUGACCCGUGAUCCGGGUUGCGGACAGUGUCUGGUGGGUAGUUUGACUGGGGCGGUCUCCUCCUAAAGAGUAACGGAGGAGCACGAAGGUUGGCUAAUCCUGGUCGGACAUCAGGAGGUUAGUGCAAUGGCAUAAGCCAGCUUGACUGCGAGCGUGACGGCGCGAGCAGGUGCGAAAGCAGGUCAUAGUGAUCCGGUGGUUCUGAAUGGAAGGGCCAUCGCUCAACGGAUAAAAGGUACUCCGGGGAUAACAGGCUGAUACCGCCCAAGAGUUCAUAUCGACGGCGGUGUUUGGCACCUCGAUGUCGGCUCAUCACAUCCUGGGGCUGAAGUAGGUCCCAAGGGUAUGGCUGUUCGCCAUUUAAAGUGGUACGCGAGCUGGGUUUAGAACGUCGUGAGACAGUUCGGUCCCUAUCUGCCGUGGGCGCUGGAGAACUGAGGGGGGCUGCUCCUAGUACGAGAGGACCGGAGUGGACGCAUCACUGGUGUUCGGGUUGUCAUGCCAAUGGCACUGCCCGGUAGCUAAAUGCGGAAGAGAUAAGUGCUGAAAGCAUCUAAGCACGAAACUUGCCCCGAGAUGAGUUCUCCCUGACUCCUUGA